RNAcentral lists this ribosomal RNA (399 nucleotides) under uncultured bacterium. Its description in RNAcentral is "bacterial SSU rRNA". It matches the Rfam family "Bacterial small subunit ribosomal RNA", at positions 32 to 416 of the family's 1533-position model. The record is from RNAcentral.
AAUCAACGCUGGCGGCGUGCCUAACACAUGCAAGUCGAACGCGAAAGUCCCGCAAGGGAUUAGUAGAGUGGCAAACGGGUGAGUAACACGUGGGUGACCUGCCUUCGAGUGGGGGAUAACGUCCCGAAAGGGACGCUAAUACCGCAUAACAUCCUGCCUUUUAAGAGGUGGAGAUCAAAGCUGGGGACCGUAAGGCCUGGCGCUGGAAGAGGGGCCCGCGUCUGAUUAGCUAGUUGGUAGGGAAUGGCCUACCAAGGCGACGAUCGGUAGCUGGUUUGAGAGAACGAUCAGCCACACUGGAACUGAGACACGGUCCAGACUCCUACGGGAGGCAGCAGUGGGGAAUAUUGGACAAUGGCGCAAGCCUGAUCCAGCAAUUCCGCGUGGGUGAAGAAGGCC